GAUCUCUUCCCAAUUAAAGCUCUGUGGACCUGUUCAGCUACAGAAGCAGGACAUGCAUUUCAGCUUGAAUAGUGAGUUUCUAGCUGCUCCAUGUAAAAGAAAAGCACGUUAAGAAAAUAAAACAGUGGGCAAACCCAGGUGGUUGCGGUCGAACAGAAGGAUGGGCGACCCUCGCUGUUUAAACGGAUGAGCAGGACUUCAAGCGCAACCCCUGGCCUUGCCUUUCUCCUCUCCAUGUUCAUCUUCCUCCUGGGAGUGAGCGCUUGAUGGUGCUUUGAAUCCACGCCAGGAAUUUUUCUGCUUUUGCAAACUCAGAGGCUUUCUUGUCCUCCUGAUGAUAGUAAGACGCCUUUGGAGUCUGGCCUGGAGGAAGCUAAGUGAAUUAUCUGUGUACAGAUAAUCAGAAGUGGACCAUAAAUGAUGAUUGAUGCUCCCGGGUUGCCAGGAGGGAGUUGCCACACUGGAUAACACCUGACACUCCUGCAGGAAAUGAUGGACAUCCCACUCCAAAGGGGCCUUGGAGCCCAUAGCCAGCUCCUCCUCUUAUUCAAAAAGCAUGCUUCCUGUGGUAGUGAGGGAUAUGUCCAAUUCCCCAAAAUGUUUAACAAGGAGAAAGAAGAACAGAUUUUAAAUUCAUGACUAAAAUAUUCUUUGAAGUGCAGAACUUGGCUUUGAUAGUGCAAUGUGGAAAUAGCAUGGUUCUCUACUUACUGUGAGCAUUUGGUGACCAGUGGGCCCAGUGGCACGUGUGAUAACAUCUCCUUUCACUCUGUAGAAGCCAGUUCCUCCCGGUGGUGGUUCAGGUCUGUUUCUGACUAAGCAAGUUGUUCCUUUAGAUCCGAUUUCAAGGCACUUUCUGGUGGUGGACACAGGACCUAUUUUUCUCACUUGACUAUGUGUUGGUCUAGUCAUUGGCCAUUCAGAGACUCCAGGUUGGAGGUCUACAUAAGUUAGAAUCUCACCAGCCUUUCUAAACCAGAUGCAAAGUACACACCCCAGCGGGCUUAUAAAAGGAGUACAUCUAAUCAUAUAAUGCUUCUAUAAUAUGGUUUUUUAAAUUAAGUGACCCACAGGAUAUUAAUCUGGUGGUAACAACUCCUGGGAGACGUAGUAUUGGCAAACACUUCAAGAGCAGCUGGAACUCCUGUGAAAUGUGAUGUUCAUUUCAUCUGAACAUAUGUAAAUCAAAACAAGCCAUGGGAGAACUGCAGUGCUCUGUACAUGCUAUAUUGUUCACAAACCUGUCAUAAAUAAGUGCCUCUUUAAAAGAAACCAAUUAAUAAAUGUGCAUUGAAUUACAAAGUUUAAAUAUUCCAUAAUAUGGGAUCUCUUUCCCUGACCCCCUCCACCCGAAUUCCCACUCCUGCCAGGGGCCCCUCGUUAUUGAAGCUGUUACAACAUUUUCCACUGUGUGGCACAUCUCUGUUUUGUUGUUGUUGAUUGAGUUAUUUGGUUGGUCCAGCAGUUUAAAAAAAAAAAAAGAGGAAGA
Molecule: long non-coding RNA, 1489 nt
Organism: Cavia porcellus (domestic guinea pig)
Lineage: Eukaryota; Metazoa; Chordata; Mammalia; Rodentia; Caviidae
Exons: 3
Source: RefSeq, a predicted model, not a curated record